This 497-nucleotide ribosomal RNA is filed under the name uncultured bacterium. Its description in RNAcentral is "partial 16S ribosomal RNA". It matches the Rfam family "Bacterial small subunit ribosomal RNA", at positions 28 to 507 of the family's 1533-position model. The record is from RNAcentral.
GAUGAACGCUGGCGGCGUGCCUAAUACAUGCAAGUCGAACGCAUAGCGAAAGUUUCUUUCACCUUUCAUGUUAGUGGCGACCUGUUUAGUAACACGUUGACAACCUUCCUCAUUUCUGGUGAUAACAUUUGGAAACAGAUGCUAAUACCGAAUAAAUCUUAUUGUCUCUUGACACAAAGUUAAUAUGCGCUUCUGCGUCUCUUAUAGAUGUUUCAGCGUUGCUUUAGUUAGUUGGUGGGGUAAAGGCCUACCAAGACAAUGAUGCAUAGCCGAGUUGAGAGAAGGAUAGGACACAUUGGGACUGAGACACGGACCAAAAGCCUACGGGAGGCUGCAGUAGGGAAUAUGCCACAAUGGGCGAAAGCAUGAUGGAGCAACGCCGCGUGUGUGAUGAAGGAUUUCGGGUCGUAAAGAACUGUUGUAUGGGAAGAAAAGAUAGAAUAGGAAAUGAUGAUAGUUUGACGGUACCAUACCAGAAAGGGACGGCUAAAUACGUG